GGGAACCCUGACGGAGCAACGCCGCGUGCGGGAGGACGGCCUGUGGGUUGUAAACCGCUUUUCUCAGGGAAGAAGUUCUGACGGUACCUGAGGAAUCAGCAUCGGCUAACUCCGUGCCAGCAGCCGCGGUAAUACGGAGGAUGCAAGCGUUAUCCGGAAUUAUUGGGCGUAAAGCGUCCGUAGGCGGUGAGUUAAGUCUGCUGUCAAAGCCUGCAGCUCAACUGUGGAGUGGCAGUGGAAACUGAUUGACUAGAGUGCGAUAGGGGUAGAGGGAAUUCCCAGUGUAGCGGUGAAAUGCGUAGAUAUUGGGAAGAACACCAGUGGCGAAGGCGCUCUACUGGGUCGCAACUGACGCUGAGGGACGAAAGCUAGGGGAGCG
RNAcentral lists this ribosomal RNA (379 nucleotides) under uncultured cyanobacterium. Its description in RNAcentral is "bacterial SSU rRNA". It matches the Rfam family "Bacterial small subunit ribosomal RNA", at positions 376 to 770 of the family's 1533-position model. The record is from RNAcentral. Lineage: Bacteria; Bacillati; Cyanobacteriota.